Molecule: small nuclear RNA, 136 nt
Organism: Mirounga angustirostris (Northern elephant seal)
Lineage: Eukaryota; Metazoa; Chordata; Mammalia; Carnivora; Phocidae
Product: U4 spliceosomal RNA
Exons: 1
Source: RefSeq, a predicted model, not a curated record
AGCUUUGCACAGUGGCAGUAUCAUAGCCAAUGAAGUUUAUCUGAGGCACGAUUAUUGCUAAUUGAAAGCUAAAAGAGCUCAUCUCAAUAGAAACACAAAACAGCCACAAAUGCUACUAAAAUAUAAUUUUAAAUUU